AGCCGCGGCGGCCGGACCCAGGCGACCGCCGGGGGACCCAAAACUCUUGUUUUUUCAGUGUAUUCUGAGUGGCAUAAGCAAAUAAUCAAAACUUUCAGCAACGGAUCUCUUGGUUCUGGCAUCGAUGAAGAACGCAGCGAAAUGCGAUAAGUAAUGUGAAUUGCAGAAUUCAGUGAAUCAUCGAAUCUUUGAACGCACAUUGCGCCCGCCAGUACUCUGGCGGGCAUGCCUGUCCGAGCGUCAUUUCAACCCUCAGCACCCGCCUUCGCGGCGGGAGCUGGCGUUGGGGAUCGGCCGCCCUCAGCGGCGGCCGGCCCCGAAACGAAGUGGCGGCCGCGUCGCGACCUCCUCUGCGCAGUAGCGAUACCUCGCAGCCUGGAUAGCGGUGCGGCCACGCCGUAAAACCCCAACUUUACCAAGGUGACCUCGAUCAGGUAGAAUACCCGCUGAACUUAAGCAUAUC
Molecule: ribosomal RNA, 463 nt
Filed under: Geosmithia pallida
Lineage: Eukaryota; Fungi; Ascomycota; Sordariomycetes; Hypocreales; Bionectriaceae
Description: eukaryotic LSU rRNA
Rfam family: 5.8S ribosomal RNA (bases 90-243)
Source: RNAcentral